Molecule: unclassified non-coding RNA, 372 nt
Filed under: uncultured Gammaproteobacteria bacterium
Lineage: Bacteria; Pseudomonadati; Pseudomonadota; Gammaproteobacteria
Description: contains 16S-23S intergenic spacer region
Source: RNAcentral
UCCGGUUUGUCACCGGCAGUCUCCUUAGAGUGCCCUUGCGUAGCAACUAAGGACAAGGGUUGCGCUCGUUGCGGGACUUAACCCAACAUCUCACGACACGAGCUGACGACAGCCAUGCAGCACCUGUGUUCAGGCUCUCUUUCGAGCACCUCAGCCUUUCAGCCAAGUUCCUGACAUGUCAAGGGUAGGUAAGGUUUUUCGCGUUGCAUCGAAUUAAUCCACAUCAUCCACCGCUUGUGCGGGUCCCCGUCAAUUCCUUUGAGUUUUAAUCUUGCGACCGUACUCCCCAGGCGGUCGACUUCACGCGUUAGCUGCGUUACCAAGCCAAUGAAGGCCCGACAACUAGUCGACAUCGUUUAGGGCGUGGACUAC